This 118-nucleotide small RNA is filed under the name Marmota monax (woodchuck). Lineage: Eukaryota; Metazoa; Chordata; Mammalia; Rodentia; Sciuridae. The record is from RNAcentral.
GCUGAAUGUGUUGGUGCAUGCCUGUAAUCCCAGCAACUUGGGAGGCUGAGGCAGGGGAAUUGCAAGCUUGAGGCCAGCUUAGCAAGAUCCUGAGCAAUUUAGCAAGAUCCUGUCUCAA